Molecule: transfer RNA, 74 nt
Filed under: Haloarcula pellucida
Lineage: Archaea; Methanobacteriati; Methanobacteriota; Halobacteria; Halobacteriales; Haloarculaceae
Description: Halomicroarcula pellucida tRNA-Gln
Rfam family: tRNA
About the family: Transfer RNA (tRNA) molecules are approximately 80 nucleotides in length. Their secondary structure includes four short double-helical elements and three loops (D, anti-codon, and T loops). Further hydrogen bonds mediate the characteristic L-shaped molecular structure. tRNAs have two regions of fundamental functional importance: the anti-codon, which is responsible for specific mRNA codon recognition, and the 3' end, to which the tRNAs corresponding amino acid is attached (by aminoacyl-tRNA synthetases). tRNAs cope with the degeneracy of the genetic code in two manners: having more than one tRNA (with a specific anti-codon) for a particular amino acid; and 'wobble' base-pairing, i.e. permitting non-standard base-pairing at the 3rd anti-codon position.
Source: RNAcentral
AGUCCCGUGGUGUAGUGGCCAAUCAUAAGGGCCUUUGGAGCCCUUGACGGCGGUUCGAAUCCGCCCGGGACUAC